This 227-nucleotide long non-coding RNA is filed under the name Homo sapiens (human). Its description in RNAcentral is "non-protein coding HDHD5-AS1:20". The record is from RNAcentral. Lineage: Eukaryota; Metazoa; Chordata; Mammalia; Primates; Hominidae.
CGGAGCCCGUCGGGCGCCUAUGGAACUCGACCCGCAGGCCAAAGGGGCUCCGUUGCAAGGAAGAAGUGCGGGGUCCCGCCGCCUCCUAGACCGAGAUCGCGGAGCCAGCUGGUCCACCAGAAGUCUGUGUUCUGCCUGUCCCUGCAGCACGGAGGGCUGGGCUUUAUACCUGUGCCAAGGACACCAACGGCAGCAUCAGCAAGUCCGUGUUGUCUCCCAAAUAAGUG